UACGGGGGGAGCAAGCGUUGUUCGGAUUUACUGGGCGUAAAGGGCGCGUAGGCGGCUCGGUAAGUAGGGGGUGAAAUCCUGCGGCUUAACCGCAGGGCUGCCUUCUAAACUGUCGAGCUCGAGCACGGUAGAGGCAGAUGGAAUUCCCGGUGUAGCGGUGGAAUGCGUAGAGAUCGGGAAGAACAUCAGUGGCGAAGGCGGUCUGCUGGGCCGUUGCUGACGCUGAGGCGCGACAGCGUGGGGAGCAAACAGG
This 253-nucleotide ribosomal RNA is filed under the name uncultured bacterium. Its description in RNAcentral is "partial 16S ribosomal RNA". It matches the Rfam family "Bacterial small subunit ribosomal RNA", at positions 524 to 776 of the family's 1533-position model. The record is from RNAcentral.